This is a small nucleolar RNA of Callorhinchus milii (elephant shark), 138 nucleotides long. The record is from Ensembl. NCBI's taxonomy places the organism in Eukaryota, Metazoa, Chordata, Chondrichthyes, Chimaeriformes, Callorhinchidae.
GCAUGACAAUGGAUUUAUGUUGGAUCAAUCCCAUGAUCCUGUCAUAGUGUACUCCAUGCUAAAUCAAAGCACUGCUCCAAACCAUUGAUCAGCCUGCAUGCUCCAUAGGCUGGCUUCACUGAUGGGAGCAGGACAUUG